UGGUUAGCGGCGGACGGGUGAGUAACACGUGGGCAACCUGCCUGUAAGACUGGGAUAACACCGGGAAACCGGUGCUAAUACCGGAUAAUCCUUUUCCUCUCAUGAGGAAAAGCUGAAAGUCGGUUUCGGCUGACACUUACAGAUGGGCCCGCGGCGCAUUAGCUAGUUGGUGAGGUAACGGCUCACCAAGGCGACGAUGCGUAGCCGACCUGAGAGGGUGAUCGGCCACACUGGGACUGAGACACGGCCCAGACUCCUACGGGAGGCAGCAGUAGGGAAUCUUCCACAAUGGACGAAAGUCUGAUGGAGCAACGCCGCGUGAGCGAUGAAGGCCUUCGGGUCGUAAA
This 347-nucleotide ribosomal RNA is filed under the name Bacillus sp. IDA2891. RNAcentral describes it as "bacterial SSU rRNA". It matches the Rfam family "Bacterial small subunit ribosomal RNA", at positions 89 to 429 of the family's 1533-position model. The record is from RNAcentral. Lineage: Bacteria; Bacillati; Bacillota; Bacilli; Caryophanales; Bacillaceae.